This 225-nucleotide long non-coding RNA is filed under the name Phoenix dactylifera (date palm). RNAcentral's name for it is "long non-coding RNA (PDAC_LNC014376)". Lineage: Eukaryota; Viridiplantae; Streptophyta; Magnoliopsida; Arecales; Arecaceae. The record is from RNAcentral.
AGGCAAGUAGAAAGAUAGAUCAAGAUCAAUUCAUUUUGCCUAAAUAGAGAUAUCUUUCUCUUCUCCUUUUUACAAAUUUAUUCAACUUUCAAUUUUUAAAGAUGAUUGUGAACGACAAAUCUGAAAUUUCUUUUCAAUAAUACCCAAAAACAAUUUUAUGCAGUAUUCCAAACAUUCAAUCAAAUUGUCCAAGCAUGGAGCAUUACAAAAUAUUGAGAACCCAUA